Molecule: ribosomal RNA, 255 nt
Filed under: uncultured bacterium
Lineage: Bacteria
Description: partial 16S ribosomal RNA
Rfam family: Bacterial small subunit ribosomal RNA
Source: RNAcentral
UACGUAGGGUGCAGGCGUUAAUCGGAAUUACUGGGCGUAAAGCGUGCGCAGGCGGUUUCUUAAGUCAGAUGUGAAAGCCCCGGGCUUAACCUGGGAACUGCGUUUGAAACUGGGAGACUUGAGUGUGGCAGAGGGGGGUGGAAUUCCGACGUGUAGCAGUGGAAAUGCGUAGAUAUGUGGAGGAACACCGAUGGCGAAGGCAGCCCCCUGGGUUAACACUGACGCUCAUGCACGAAAGCGUGGGGAGCAAACAGG